Molecule: ribosomal RNA, 840 nt
Filed under: uncultured bacterium
Lineage: Bacteria
Description: bacterial SSU rRNA
Rfam family: Bacterial small subunit ribosomal RNA
Source: RNAcentral
GCUCAGGAUGAACGCUGGCGGCGUGCCUAACACAUGCAAGUCGAACGAAGAGGCCCCUUCGGGGGUACUUCAGUGGCGGACGGGUGAGUAACACGUAGGUGACCUACCCCGAAGUGGGGAAUAACAGUCCGAAAGGAUUGCUAAUACCCCAUAUGAUCGAUGAGGUUAGAGUCUGGUCGAUUAAAGCAGCAAUGCGCUUCGGGAGGGGCCUGCGCCCCAUCAGCUAGUUGGUAGGGUAAUGGCCUACCAAGGCAACAACGGGUAGGGGGCCUGAGAGGGUGACCCCCCACAUUGGCACUGACACACGGGCCAAACUCCUACGGGAGGCAGCAGUGAGGAAUAUUGCUCAAUGGGCGAAAGCCUGAAGCAGCAACGCCGCGUGCGCGAUGAAGGCCUUCGGGUCGUAAAGCGCUUUUGAGAGGGACGAGAUAGGACGGUACCUCUUGAAUAAGUCACGGCUAACUACGUGCCAGCAGCCGCGGUAAAACGUAGGUGGCAAGCGUUAUCCGGAUUCAUUGGGCGUAAAGCGCGUGCAGGUGGCUUUGUAAGUUGGACGUUAAAUCCCCCAGCCUAACUGGGAGUGGUCGUUCAAUACUGCGAGGCUUGAGGGCAGAAGAGGGGGGUGGAAUUGCUGGUGUAGUGGUGAAAUGCGUAGAUAUCAGCAGGAACACCUGUGGCGAAAGCGGCCCCCUGGUUUGCUCCUGACACUCAGACGCGAAAGCUAGGGGAGUGAACGGGAUUAGAAACCCCGGUAUCCUAGCCGUAAACGAUGGAUGCUAGGUGUGGGUGGUAUUGACCCCAUCCGUGCCGAAGCCAACGCGUUAAGCAUCCCGCCUGGGG